GAUAAACGCUGGCGGCGUGCCUAAUACAUGCAAGUCGAGCGAACGGACGAGAAGCUUGCUUCUCUGAUGUUAGCGGCGGACGGGUGAGUAACACGUGGAUAACCUACCUAUAAGACUGGGAUAACUUCGGGAAACCGGAGCUAAUACCGGAUAAUAUUUUGAACCGCAUGGUUCAAAAGUGAAAGACGGUCUUGCUGUCACUUAUAGAUGGAUCCGCGCUGCAUUAGCUAGUUGGUAAGGUAACGGCUUACCAAGGCAACGAUGCAUAGCCGACCUGAGAGGGUGAUCGGCCACACUGGAACUGAGACACGGUCCAGACUCCUACGGGAGGCAGCAGUAGGGAAUCUUCCGCAAUGGGCGAAAGCCUGACGGAGCAACGCCGCGUGAGUGAUGAAGGUCUUCGGAUCGUAAAACUCUGUUAUUAGGGAAGAACAUAUGUGUAAGUAACUGUGCACAUCUUGACGGUACCUAAUCGGAAAGCCACGGCUAACUACGUGCCAGCAGCCGCGGUAAUACGUAGGUGGCAAGCGUUAUCCGGAAUUAUUGGGCGUAAAGCGCGCGUAGGCGGUUUUUUAAGUCUGAUGUGAAAGCCCACGGCUCAACCGUGGAGGGUCAUUGGAAACUGGAAAACUUGAGUGCAGAAGAGGAAAGUGGAAUUCCAUGUGUAGCGGUGAAAUGCGCAGAGAUAUGGAGGAACACCAGUGGCGAAGGCGACUUUCUGGUCUGUAACUGACGCUGAUGUGCGAAAGCGUGGGGAUCAAACAGGAUUAGAUACCCUGGUAGUCCACGCCGUAAACGAUGAGUGCUAAGUGUUAGGGGGUUUCCGCCCCUUAGUGCUGCAGCUAACGCAUUAAGCACUCCGCCUGGGGAGUACGACCGCAAGGUUGAAACUCAAAGGAAUUGACGGGGACCCGCACAAGCGGUGGAGCAUGUGGUUUAAUUCGAAGCAACGCGAAGAACCUUACCAAAUCUUGACAUCCUUUGACAACUCUAGAGAUAGAGCCUUCCCCUUCGGGGGACAAAGUGACAGGUGGUGCAUGGUUGUCGUCAGCUCGUGUCGUGAGAUGUUGGGUUAAGUCCCGCAACGAGCGCAACCCUUAAGCUUAGUUGCCAUCAUUAAGUUGGGCACUCUAAGUUGACUGCCGGUGACAAACCGGAGGAAGGUGGGGAUGACGUCAAAUCAUCAUGCCCCUUAUGAUUUGGGCUACACACGUGCUACAAUGGACAAUACAAAGGGCAGCGAAACCGCGAGGUCAAGCAAAUCCCAUAAAGUUGUUCUCAGUUCGGAUUGUAGUCUGCAACUCGACUACAUGAAGCUGGAAUCGCUAGUAAUCGUAGAUCAGCAUGCUACGGUGAAUACGUUCCCGGGUCU
This 1372-nucleotide ribosomal RNA is filed under the name uncultured bacterium. Its description in RNAcentral is "bacterial SSU rRNA". It matches the Rfam family "Bacterial small subunit ribosomal RNA", at positions 28 to 1381 of the family's 1533-position model. The record is from RNAcentral.